RNAcentral lists this ribosomal RNA (278 nucleotides) under uncultured bacterium. RNAcentral's name for it is "partial 16S ribosomal RNA". It matches the Rfam family "Bacterial small subunit ribosomal RNA", at positions 28 to 320 of the family's 1533-position model. The record is from RNAcentral.
GAUCAACGCUGGCGGCGUGCCUAACGCAUGUAAGUCGUGCGGGCUGCCUUCGGGCAGCCAGCGGCGAACGGCUGAGGAACACGUACGAACCUGCCCGCGCGUGGGGAAUAACGCGCCGAAAGGCGUGCUAAUACCGCGUACGCUCCGCCCUCACGGGUGGAGGAAAGCCUUCGGGCGCGCGCGGAGGGGCGUGCGGCCCAUCAGGUAGUUGGUGCGGUAAUGGCGCACCAAGCCGUGACGGGUAGCUGGUCUGUGAGACGAUCAGCCAGACUGGGACU